AUGAUAUCUUCAGCAUCUUAUUUUAUUUCAAUGCGGGAGUCACUGAUGUAUUGGUGGUUGAACACAGGUGGCAGUUCGUCAUCUUCAUCCCGAUCCAAGAAGAGGAAACGAUCUUCGAGCAAGAGUCGAAGUCGCUCCUCAGAGCAGAAAGCUCGCAAGCAGAAGCCGAUCUUCCCUCUGCGGGACCGGAACCCCGAUUUCGGUCCCAACCCUAACUUCCCUCAGAAGAAAAAGCGUGACGAGGACGACGAUGAUGACGAUGACGAUGACGAUGAUGACGAGGAGGAGGAAAGAAAGCGCGAAUUAAGGCGUAGAGAAGAAACGGAACGCCAGCGACAGGCCACUCUCUUCAAUCUCAGUAGACCUAGUCAGCCUGAAUUUGACAGGGAUCGCUUCGAGCGGGAGCAAGCUCUUCUUAGAAAUCGACCUAAUCAGCCUGAAUUUGACAGGGAUCGCUUCGAGCGGGAGCAAGCUCUUCUUAGAAAUCGACAGCGGCAGGAUGGAGAGGUCCCACAGGAGUUGUUGAAUAUUAUUCAGCCAGCAUUUCUGCCAGAGUCACGACGGGAAAUAACACGAUUUGAGCAACGUCCGUCGGAAGUCCGAACAAUGCAAGUGCCGCUUACGAAGACCAAUGUUCAAUCAGUUACUACAAUGCAGGGCCUACAAGACCGGCCAGAGCAGUCGUCAAUCCUCAGAAAACCGCCAAGAAUGAUGGCGGGGUUGGGCAACCCGGAGGAUGUAGCUCGAAGUAUGUUAAAUUUUUGAAGGAUCGCAUAUUGCGUCUAUUAAUUUAUUUAGGACGUCAGGACAGCGGGGUGACUAUUGAAAUUGAUAAAAAAAACUAUAGACAAAAGAGACAUAAGGAGUAUGGAGCUAUUCUAUUGGUUGAAAUGGAUGGUUCCUAUGGACUAAGGGAGAAAAAGAUGAACUAACUAUCGGGUCUCUCGUCGGUUGCCGUUAGUUUGUCUAUUGCCUACCUCCUUUGUCCAUUGCAAUUACCACUUGCUUCCACCUAUAGGAUCCCUCCAUAUUUGUUUUUCUUAUUUGUCUAUAGCUUUGUCUAUCAAUUUCAAUAAUCGGCCCACAGUGGAUGCGGAUUUCCUUACAAGUACGUUUAGUUCACUUCACUAAAUGCUUUUCAGCCCGAAGGACCGUCUUCAGUAGCGAUGACAAUGGGCCUGCUGUUGCAAACUUCAGCUAGAGCAAGAGGAAGAGUUGUUUCCUGCAGAGAAUGACUCAAAAAUCACGAUAAGUGCACAAUCUGCGUAAAAAAUAUGCUUUUUUAAGCUUUUCGCUUCAAAACCGAUUUUACGGCACAGGUUAACAUUUCUUAAGAUGAGUCGUUCCAUCCAACCCUUGCGCGCUACGAUACUACGCAAUAUUCAACAUGGCUGACAAUUCCGCGCGGAAAUCGUGAGGAAGCACCAGGGUCUUUAUCAACGCAAGGAAAAUGUAAAUAUAAAAAGGCUGAUCGAUAAAAAACCAUCUCGUCACGUGUGUUUUGGCGGGAUGGCGUAGGCCAUGUGGACGUAUUUCUAUCAAACGGAACUAUUUGCAUUAUGACGUGAGCCCUAUUAUGCAAGUAAUUCUUAUGGGUCUCAGGGCUCUUGUCUUAAUGCACAAUGUUCCGUUUGGCAGAAAUACGCCCAUGUUGAAGAUUGCGUAGCAUCCUAGUCGCAAGUGUUGGAUGAAACGACUCCUCUUACGAAAUGUUCACCUGUGUCGUUGUAUCGUUACGAAGAUUGCGAAGUUAGGAGCAUGUAUUUCAGACUUUUCCGAUGCAAUCAAAAAGAUUUUUGAGCCAUAUCCGAUUAGAGACAACUCUUCUUUUGGCUCUAUAGCUGAAGUAUGCAACAAGCUCGUUAAAAUUAAACAAACAAAUCACAAGCAUAAAUGUAACGAGCCGAGAGGGCAUGUUAAGCUAGUAAGAUUCCUAAGGGGAUGGAUUUUACUGCUCCGAUUUGGAUUGCAGGUCAACGCAAUAAGCAAAUGUUCGUUCGUCAACUGUUAACGAAAUCUGUAAACAGUUGUCCUGAGCGUUAACGAAGUUGGUAUUUUCAUCAACCAAUCAGAGCCCGGUGGCCUGUUCACUGGAGUGUUGAUGGGUUUCACUCCCUCAACAAGAAUCGUCAACAGGUUCGAUAACGUGGUCCAGAGCACGUUCACGAAACUGUAAACUAUGCUGAUGAAAAUUAAAUUACACUUAAUUACGGGCGAUUUGGAGGGAAAGGCUGGGCCGCGCCCAUUUAAUCACAACUAGAGUUAUACUGAGAGUUAAGACAAUGUGAAUCCGUUUCUGAUUGGUUACCGUAUUUUAGGCCUCCUCAAACGGGAAUAAAGAUUACACUUUAACCAAUUGCAAAGAUUACGAUCUGGAAUGGACCGAGGAAUCACGAGUUCGACGAGGAAAAACGGAAUGAGAGAAGGAACGGAGAAAGGAAUUUGAGAAUGAGCCGAUCAAAGAUUACGAAAAACGAUCGAUUUGUGUAAUCUUUGUUCCCGUUUAUGACUCCAUGAGGGAGUGCUGUCUUAACUCUCAUUAUAAAGGGACUCUAUAAUCACAACCGCGGGAGAACAAAAAUUUGUUUUGAUGACGUUUUUCGUUAACUAUUUACGGAUUUCGUCAACAGUUAACGAACGAAAAUUUGCUUUUUAUGGGGUGUCUGUAGAUCGCUAAAGAUCUCAUACUAGCUCUCCUCAAGACAUUAUUGCUUGGGUGUUAAUAGAAUCUGGUGGUCCUUACGAGCUUUGGUGCACAUUCCUUGCUACAUGAUCCGUUGACGUAGUUGUUAAGCUUCGAUGCGCGUAGAACUAAAAAAAGACAAAAAAGUUGGAAAAAGCUUUACAGGACUCACCCAGUAAAAGUUCAAAGCCAAGCUAGAGUUUUAAUGACCCUCUCCCUCUGGCGAGCGUUGUUCAUCAUCGUUCGUCAUUCCAUAGAAUCUCAUUUGUAUGACGCGCUGGCGCAUCAUACAAGUGCGCAGUGCGCACUCAUUAAAUCUUCAUUUUUGAACAAAAAAGUAAUUGAUAAAAGGAGGUUAAAGUGAGUCAGUAAUUUAGCGAGUAAAGUUGGUAAGUUUGAAUAACGUCAUUUAUUGUUUUUUUCUUCACAUGCGCUAAUCACGCAUUUUUAGUUUUAAGCUUAGGAUUUAUUCUUGUAAUUCAUCAACUGCGUGCUCUUUAGAAAAAGAAUAAGGACGCGAAAGAUCAAAUUAAGACGGGUUUUUCUUACGACUUUAUGACUUUCUUACUUUAUGGCUACACCAUAUAGAAAAUAUAAUAAACUCAGGGUAUUCGACGGGUUUUGAAGCCUCCCAGGCAUCAAUUAUCUGCACACAAUAUUUAGAAUAGGGGUUUAGAUUUGCUGCUGAUGUUAUUUUCUAUUCUUGUUUUUCAAUUUUGUAAUUUUUGUAAUAAUAUAAUCUUACAAAAUAAAUCCUUAUCAAUUUCAUAUAAAAUUUAUGUUUUCAUUUUUUUCUUGUUUUUAUCGCUAUGAGAUUGUAAUAUUUCUCGAAUGAAAUAUAGUGCGUAAAAUGUAUGAAACUUCUUCUGCCUCCUCUUCUAUCACUUUCUCAUCUCCCUCCUCCUCUUACUCUUCUCCUUCUUUUUUCUUCGUUCUAUUUUCAGGAUUUUCCUCUUCGUCAAAUUUUGAAAAGGGCAAAUUUUCACCCUGGCAAACACAAGCAUACCAUUUGAGUUAGUAUAUCUCUAACCAGAAAUCUUAUGUAUCCUACGAUCUUUUUUCAGAAACACCUUCCAGAAUGGAUUUAAAACCCGCAUUAUUUUCCUAAACGGAGACUAGGUCUCAUCGUCCAAACUAUAGCACAUCGAUGGCUGGAUUGCGAAACCACGUAUCUCGAUUCCGAUGUUUUAAAAUUUUCUCUCUUAUUUUAUUUUUUCGAAUGGAAGAAAAGUCAAACUUAUUGCUUGUUUAGACAGAAUGUUCUGCUUACAGAGAAAAAAGGUCAAGGACAUUUUUAAAAAAUUACGUUGACUAGUUUUCCAAAGAAAAAAUAAAGUAUGACAGAGAGUCUGCCAUGUCGCAAACAAAGAUACGUAGUUUUGCACUCAGGCCGUUGGUAUGUAUACCCAGAAUUGCUCCCCACCCUUUAAAAUUUUUCAAACAUAAAAAGUAAUGUUACUUGGAUUCAAUAAUGUGUUAUAGCCUAUGACAUUUAUAUUCCAUUUUAAAGUGUUCUGAGACCCUAUGGUCAUGAGAGAAAAAUCAAUUAGAUGAUCCCGUAAAGAAUUAUCGUAAUACUAAAGCAGGAGACAAUGAAUGGCAUUGUUGAAAUAAGCGCCUUGCCUGCUAUGUAUUUGUUUCGAUGUGCAUGUAGAGAGGUAUCUUUCGUUAAUGAAGGCGUUCCGCUUGCGGACUUUUCUCAUGCUAUUAUUCACUCCGUGUUUCAUCCUGCCCUUUUGUUAUCCAACACGUGAGUGCAGUGAUGUUCGUGCGCAAAAGUCCAAAUAGCUGCCUAAAAUGUUCAUCCUCAUGGAGGAAACAGCUCUAAUUCUUACAAAUAUUCAGACAAUUUUCAUGGAUAAAAAAAUAGUUUAUUGAAAUAAAUUAACAUAAAAUAAUUAAAAAGACACAAAAACAAGGCGUAAAUCAAAAUAAAUCAACAAGAAAAAAUCAAAAUUAGAUGAGAGAACGUAAAUUGAAAUCAAAUCACUCCAAAUAAUUUAAAUUUUAAGACUAAUAAAAUAUUAAAACAAAACAAUCACGGAGAAGGAGAUCCAGCUAACACAAAGAGUUGUUAAAUGUUGAAAUAUGCUUCAGUUAUGAGAGCAUGUAGCGAUGGACCAAAAAGAUAACUCCAUACAUUAAAUAAUAAAUAACGCGAACGACAUUAAAAAAAUUAAAAAAGGCGCAGAACCUAUACUCUGGUUGAGGGAAGAUAAACUCGGACCCAGAAUAGAUUGACAAAUCUAAAAAAAAAUUUUUUUGAUUGAGUAGGUAUGAAUAAUGACGAAGUAUAAAAAUACGAAAUUAGAAAUAUAAGAAAAAAAUCGGCUUUUAUCGUUUAUAAAAAUAAUACGAGAUUAUUCUCUUCUAUCUUCUGAAGAGGAUAUGAGUUUCCUGAUUGAGGUCUUUCCAUCUUAUUCGUGAAAUUGUCCAGGAUAUUACAACAUAAUCACUAGGACAAUCUUUUCUCAUGAGCUGAAUUUUGUCUUUCUCUUUUUUGUCUUUUUUAAAAUUCAUUACUCGUGCAAACUAAUGUUAUUGAUAUGUGUGCAACCUAUUCAUCAAGCCAAAUUAAUGUAAAGCUAAACAAAAUUUUUGGAAAUAAUUAAACUAAAACAUAAUGAAUGGAGAACAGUAAUUUCAAACAUUUUAUGGUUUUCGAUUUUAGCGUUUGAGUGAUCAAUUAAUAAAUGAUAUUUGAUCAGUCCUUCAUAAUCAACACAGUUGGUACUUAAGAGACCGUCAGUGCCGUUAAAGGCUUACUAUUAGAGACCUGGAUCAAUUGCACCCAAAUUGAUCAAAAUGAAUCUCCAUUUUAAAGAAAUCGACCACAAUACGUAUAUAUCAAAGCACAGGUACUUAUUGAUAAGCAAAUUUUAAUUUGGCACGUUUGCAUUAGCUAUUUCCAAUUGUUCUAUGCCUCAGGUUUGC
Molecule: long non-coding RNA, 5617 nt
Filed under: Bemisia tabaci
Lineage: Eukaryota; Metazoa; Arthropoda; Insecta; Hemiptera; Aleyrodidae
Description: lncRNA ENSSSA1UGG009094
Source: RNAcentral